Molecule: long non-coding RNA, 2466 nt
Filed under: Nicotiana benthamiana
Lineage: Eukaryota; Viridiplantae; Streptophyta; Magnoliopsida; Solanales; Solanaceae
Description: long non-coding RNA (NBEN_LNC010108)
Source: RNAcentral
GAUAAUUAGAUUCUGUGCGACAGAUGUGGCAGACUAAUGUCAAGUCUUAAGAGGGUGGAUGACUCUUUUAACUAAUAAAAUAAAUCAUAUAGGCCAUUUCUUCUUAAUUUAAGAUACUAAGAUAGUAUGCUUACUUUCUGGCAGAAUUAGGUAUCAAAUCCCAUCUUGCUCUUUAGCUUUCAGGCAACGCCACUUUGCUUAAUGACAACUGACGAAGACACCUUUUUGCCUUUGUCAGUGAGGCAAGUGAAUCCUGUUGAGAAAUUGCCAAAAUGUUCAAUAACAAAAAAGUUCAACAACUCAACAAUGCAAAAAAGUUUCUCCAUCUCAUCCUACGCGAUACACUUUUCAACUUGGGAUGUCUUCAAAUAUUUGAGACCAUUUUAUAUAUAUGUGAUUUUUAUAACUUUCAAAGAUUUAUAAAUCGUUAAAUUAUAAAAUUUUAAAUUUUAGUUUGAUGUUUUCUCUAUCAGAAAAACUUUUAGCAAUUACUUUUAUUUUAUUUGUUUAAUUAAGUUCAAUUUUAUGAAAUUAAACUGAGUAGAGUAGCAUAAUCAUUAAAAAAAAUGGUUCAAAAGUAGCAUCACAAAGUAAAGUACAAUAAGGUGGAUAUGCUUUUCACUUGUUUCUUGCAAAUGCAGACAAAUAAAAUUCAAAUUUGUUAAUAAGUCAUGCAAAUGCCAGAAACUCUUUUCCUUUCAAAUUUACUCACUUUAGAAUGAAGGUUACGGGUUCACCAGGUUAGAUAAGAUUAAGAAUGAAGUUAUUCGAGAGAUAAUGGGGGUGGCCACGGUGGAUGAGAAGAUGCGAGAAGCGAGGCUGAGGUGGUUCGGGCAUGUGCNNNNNNNNNNNNNNNNNNNNNNNNNNNNNNNNNNNNNNNNNNNNNNNNNNNNNNNNNNNNNNNNNNNNNNNNNNNNNNNNNNNNNNNNNNNNNNNNNNNGGUGAGGAGUUGUGAGCGGCUGGCGAUUGUCGGCGUUCGGCGAGGCAGAGGGAGGCCUAAGAAGUAUUGGGGAGAGGUGAUUAGGCAUGACAUAGCUAAAAUGCGGGUUUCCAAGGACAUGACCCUUGAUAGGAUCUGGAGGUCUAGUAUCAGAGUUGUAGGAUAGGGGCUCCUAGAGUUUUUCAUACUCCCCACCCGGGGUUGGGUGAGGCUUGGCAGGGCUAUCCAUAGACGAUUUGUGUUUUGGCUUGUGUCUCCCUUAUGGUAGUUAUUUAUGGUAGUUACUGUACGAUAUUAUUGCAUGCUAUUUUAUUUAUGGUUCUUAUGUUUAGAUAAUUAUUUACGCUAUUUCUGCUGGACUUACUAAUGCUGUUUUGUUUUUGUUUUUGUUUUUCCUUUCCUUUACUGAGCCAAGGGUCGAUUAAAAAUAGCUUCUCUGUCCUUUCGGGUAGGGAUAAGGCUCGUUUACAUAUUAUCCUCCCCAGACCCCACUUUGUGGGACUAUACUGGAUUGUUGUUGUUGUUAACUCAUUCAAGCAAGAGAUAAAUUUCCACUGAAUUAAAGAGAUGGGACAUGCUUUUCAAUCAGCCAAGACUGCAAGACUACAGAGUGACAUUGGACCCCUACAUCCAAAAGGAUUUUGCAAAAAGUUAUUUCAUUUUCAAAUUAAUACACUACUGUACACCUUUUGAUUUCGAAAGAAAUAUAUAUAUAGAGAGAGAGUUUUAGUACAUUAACAUUGUAUACAUAUUUGAUUUCACUUAAAUGCCCUUAAUAGUGGUUCAGCUAAACAUUAAUGAGAACGACAUUUUUAUCUUUUCAUAAAAAAUGCUUUAAACGCAAAUUCUUCUCCUUUUCUUCUCUUUGGCAUUCUUUUACUUUGGCUUCCUCACCCGAUCAGUGAAGGAGUUGCAUAUGAUGUUUUUAUAGUUGGAUGAUUUUGGGUUAUCUUCAUUUACUUUCUGUAAAUAUUUUGUAGUUCUCAAUAUUUUUAAUGUCAGUGAGAAGGCAAAAAUGUAUACCUGUUGUAAAAUUUGGAUAGGUCAAUCGACAUUACUAAGACAAGAGGGGUUGCUCUGAUGGUAAUCAGCUUCCACUUCCAACCGAGAGCUUGUAAGUUCGAGUCUCCCCAAGAACAAGGUGGGAGUCUCUCCAAGAACAAGGUGAGAAGUUCUUGGAGGGAAGGAUGCUGGGGGUCUAUUUGGAAACCGCCUCUCUACCCCAGGUAGAGGUAAGGUCUGCGUAUAUACUACGCUCCCCAGACCUCACUAUGUGGGAUUAUACUGGAUGGUUGUUGUUGUCGUCGUCGUCGUCAAUCGACAAUAAAAUUUCGGUGCAUGGCAACAAUAACUAAGAUUUGAAAUUUUCUCUCCGAUCUCUAAAAUUUUUGGUGUAUAACUGAGACUUACACAACAAUAUGAGAAUAAUGGGUAAUGGGUCUCCAAUUUAAGGCUCUGAGACUUGAUGUCAUGCUAUGAAACGAAAUGGUAGAAGAAAGAGAGAGAGAGAGAGUUGCUGUUGAAAG